This 72-nucleotide transfer RNA is filed under the name archaeon. Its description in RNAcentral is "tRNA-Met". It matches the Rfam family "tRNA". Rfam says of the family: Transfer RNA (tRNA) molecules are approximately 80 nucleotides in length. Their secondary structure includes four short double-helical elements and three loops (D, anti-codon, and T loops). Further hydrogen bonds mediate the characteristic L-shaped molecular structure. tRNAs have two regions of fundamental functional importance: the anti-codon, which is responsible for specific mRNA codon recognition, and the 3' end, to which the tRNAs corresponding amino acid is attached (by aminoacyl-tRNA synthetases). tRNAs cope with the degeneracy of the genetic code in two manners: having more than one tRNA (with a specific anti-codon) for a particular amino acid; and 'wobble' base-pairing, i.e. permitting non-standard base-pairing at the 3rd anti-codon position. The record is from RNAcentral.
GGCUCCGUAGCUCAGCGGUAGAGCGCCGCUCUCAUGAGGCGGAGGCCGGGAGGUCAGCACUCCCCGGAGCCA